This 254-nucleotide ribosomal RNA is filed under the name uncultured bacterium. RNAcentral's name for it is "partial 16S ribosomal RNA". It matches the Rfam family "Bacterial small subunit ribosomal RNA", at positions 524 to 777 of the family's 1533-position model. The record is from RNAcentral.
UACGUAGGGUGCGAGCGUUAAUCGGAAUCACUGGGCGUAAAGGGCGCGUAGGUGGUUUGAUAAGGGUGUGGUGAAAGUCCGGGGCUCAACCCCGGAUCUGCCGUGCCGACUGUCAAACUCGAGGACUGUAGAGGCAGACGGAAUUCCGGGUGUAGCGGUGGAAUGCGUAGAGAUCCGGAAGAACACCGGUGGCGAAGGCGGUCUGCUGGGCAGUUGCUGACACUGAGGCGCGACAGCGUGGGGAGCAAACAGGG